This 472-nucleotide ribosomal RNA is filed under the name uncultured bacterium. Its description in RNAcentral is "bacterial SSU rRNA". It matches the Rfam family "Bacterial small subunit ribosomal RNA", at positions 355 to 825 of the family's 1533-position model. The record is from RNAcentral.
UGGGGAAUUUUGGACAAUGGGGGCAACCCUGAUCCAGCCAUACCGCGUGAGUGAAGAAGGCCUUCGGGUUGUAAAGCUCUUUCGGCGGGGACGAAACGGUCCGUGACAACACCACGGACUAAUGACAGUACUCGCAGAAGAAGCACCGGCUAACUACGUGCCAGCAGCCGCGGUAAUACGUAGGGUGCAGGCGUUAAUCGGAAUUACUGGGCGUAAAGCGUGCGCAGGCGGCUCCUUAAGUCAGAUGUGAAAUCCCCGGGCUUAACCUGGGAACUGCGUUUGAAACUGAGGGGCUAGAGUGUGGAAGAGGGGGGUGGAAUUCCAGGUGUAGCAGUGAAAUGCGUAGAGAUCUGGAGGAACACCGAUGGCGAAGGCAGCCCCCUGGGCUAACACUGACGCUCAUGCACGAAAGCGUGGGGAGCAAACAGGAUUAGAUACCCCCGUAGUCCCUGAGCGGGCUGGCAAGGCGCAU